GAGCUGACACGUGUCACCCUUUUUAAUGGUGUUAGUACGGAACUAACGACAGUGACCUAAUUGCUUCAAAUUUUAAAAAAUAGGGACCCAAUUGAGAAAAAGAAAAAAUGAGGGACCUAAUUAAAAAAAGUCACCGAAAAUAGGAACUAUCAGAAUGAUUAAACCUUUUUUUUAACAAUACGCACACCUAUAUAUCCAAGAAAAUAAUAACCCGUCCAACAUUUUUUUCCCUUCUACUAUUCUAAGUUUUCUAAUCACCCAUACACCACCAAAUAGUAUCCAAUGUCCACACCUCUAAACCGUUAAUCCUUAUACUAGAAACAACCCUAACUCUCAUCCAUUUUCCUUCUCUCUUCUAUACACCCAAGAAGCAUAAUACCUCCCAUGCAACCACCAUAUACUCUCAUUGCUCACAGACAACUCCUUUCAUCCCAUAUAUUCUCUCUUUUUCACGUAGAUAUAGUAUAAAAAUUAUCCUUCCUAGUAAAUACUCACGUGCACACUCACUUCUCUCUCCCCCCUUCUUUUCUUUUCAGAAAAGACGAAACCCCUACACUCCCUUAAUUCUUGGUAUCUGUUAUUUCCUCCUAGCUCUUCUCUCUUCUCCUUACUUAUAUCACCCUCUUGUACAAUUCUUCCAUCUUCCCAAUAACCCGAGACUAGGCAAACUACCUCACCUCCCUUUACACCAUUGUCUCCACGCCUAAACUACAUCCAUUCUUCAUAAACCUAUCUCACUCAUCACACUGCAAGGGCAUGUGACCACCGCCAUGUAAGCUACCCAUGCAGUAUUUGGCUUUAACUCUCUCCCGCGGCUACUCCGUGUAGGUCUUAUGAGUUUGACUUCAAAACAAAAUAACAGAUUUUAAACGCUUCCUUUUUACCCUAGAUACAGCCCAAGGCCCACUCUUCCUUACUGCCAAAAAGAUCUGAAGAUAUUCUUGUUAUCUCCAUAUAUUUCGUGCAUGAGAAUUACAAAUUUUCAAUCAAUCCUCUCUUCUUAUUGGUCCAAAAUUAACCACUGGGCACCCAAGACUGCAAAAAGAAAUGAAAACACAACCAUUUGUCUCCCUCUUUCUACGCCCACUAGAAUUGAAAAGAGUUUAUGUUCUCUUCAUUCCAC
RNAcentral lists this long non-coding RNA (1123 nucleotides) under Vigna radiata. RNAcentral's name for it is "long non-coding RNA (VRAD_LNC010273)". Lineage: Eukaryota; Viridiplantae; Streptophyta; Magnoliopsida; Fabales; Fabaceae. The record is from RNAcentral.